Long non-coding RNA from Pan troglodytes (chimpanzee), 2528 nucleotides. RefSeq lists it as uncharacterized. The transcript has 4 exons. The record is from RefSeq and is a predicted model, not a curated record. NCBI's taxonomy places the organism in Eukaryota, Metazoa, Chordata, Mammalia, Primates, Hominidae.
AGGCUGUGGGGAGGGCAGGGUUAUGUGGAGUGGGGGCAUUUCUUGUUUCCCUCAUUCAUCCCAUCACCCCAACCACCCUCCUGCCAGCCUCCUCCACCAUCAAAAGUGAAAAGAGCUGGGUGCGUUGGCUCACGCCUGUAAUCCCAACAUUUUGGGAGGCCGAGGCAGGCAGAUCACCUGAGGCCAGGAGUUCAAGACCAGCCUGGCCAACAUGGUGAAACCCUAUCUCUACUAAAGAUACAAAACUUAGCUGGGCGUGGCGAUGCAUGACUGUUGUCCCAGCUACAACACUCAGCUAGGCUGAGAUAGGAGGAUUGCUUGAGCCUGGGAUUUCAAGACCAGCCACGGCAACACAGGGAGACCCUAUCUCUACUAAAAAUAAAAAUGAAAAAAACAAAACAAAAAACUGGGCAUGGUGGUGCGCACCUGUAGUCCCAGCUACUGGGGAGGCUCAGACAGUAGGAUCCCUUGAGCCCAGGAGAUCCAGGAAGCAGUGAGCCAUGAUCACACCACUGCACUCCAGCUGGAUCAACAGAGUAAGACCCUCUAUUGACUCCAACCCAGAUUUUGCAAUGGGGCUGAGAAACCUGACACCACACAGUCUGACUAGUACACGGCCUUUGUAUCGGUGCUGCUCUGGGACGUUCUCAGACCCUUCCCAUCCUCUGCUCUGGUCCACACAAUGCAGCGAUCCUUGCAACCUUGUCCAUCCAGAUAGGUGACCAAGGUCUAGGGCACAGACUUAGUCAGAAAAACUGUCCAGUCAUCUAACCUCUGAGCCUCAGUUUCCCCAUUGUUACAACAGGAAUAAGCAUUCUACUCUUUUGAGAACAUGGCUGUAAAGAGCCUAGUCCAGUGUCUGGCACAUAGUAGGGUGCCCUAAAGUGGGUGGGCUACUGGCACUGAGUGGAGGCCACUAAUUAGCUGAGCUGUUGGCACUCAAACCAAACCCUUGGCCUGGAUAUGGAAUAGACAGCAGAGUGAGUCAAGGGGCCCACAGCCCUUUUUUCUUUUCUUUUUUUUUUUUUUUUUGGUGAGAUGGAGUCUCACUCUGUCACCCAGGCUGGAGUACAGUGGUGCAAUCUUGGCACACUGCAACCUCCGCCUCCCAGGUUCAUGUGAUUCUCCUGCCUCAGCCUCCCCAAGUGCUGGAGUUACAGGCAUGAGCCGCUGCGCCCGGCCUGGCUCUGCCAUUUAAUGAGCCGGAUUGCUCUUAUGUUGAAGCCCUAACUCCAGUACUUCCAAAUGUGCCUGUGUUUGAAGAUAGGGCCUUUAAAGAGGUGAGAAAGUUAAAAAGAGGCCUUUAGGGUGGGCCCUAAUCCAAUCCAACUGGAGUCCUCAUACAAAAAGAAAAUUUGGGCUAGGUGCGAUGGCUUACACCAUCUACCCAGCACUUUGGGAAGCUGAGGCAGUAGAAUCACUUGAGUCUGGGAGUCCGAGAACAGCCUGGGCAACAUAAGAGACUCCAUCUCUACAAAAAAUUUUAGAAAUUAGCCAGCCACAGUGGCACAUGCCUGUAGUCCCAGCUACUCAGGAGGCUGAGGUGGAAGGAUUACUUGAUCCCCGAAGGUGGAGGCUGCAGUGAGGUAGGAUCACAUGACUGCAUUCCAGGCUGGGUGACAGAACAAGGCCCUGUCUCAAAUAAAUAAAUAAAUAAUAAACGCAAAUUUGGACACACACAGAGAUACCAGGGUUGCCCAUUCACAGAUGAAAGACCAUGUGAGGACAGUGAGAAGACAGCUGUCUGGAGGCCAAGCAGGGAGGCCACAGAAGAAAGCAACCUGCCGACCCCCUGAUCUUGGACUUCCAGCCUGUGACAAAAGAAAUGUCUGCUGUUUCAACCAUCCAGUCUGCGGUCCUUUGUUAAGGCAGCCCGUGCUGACUGGGAUGGUGGGCAUGGGCAGGCUGCUGCAUUCAUGUGAGCCUCUAUAUCCAUAUCUGUACGAUGGCCAUGACAACAGGGCACCCUCUUGGAAGUAUUCUAUGAACUCAGUGCUGGCACACAAUAGCCUCUGUUAGCCUGGAAGUCUCUGACAAACAGCGCUGAAUGGUAGGGAAGAGGUGGAGCUAGGAUUGGUGUUGGGGCACGUGGUGACCUGUCGUGCGCAGGCACACCACAGAAGGAAAAACCAGAGCAACUCUCAGAAGCAGAGACAGGGUUUCACCAUGUUGCCCAGGCUGGUCUGGAACUCCUGACCUCAAGUGAUCCUCCGCCUUGCCCUCCCAAAGUGCUGGGAUGACAAGCGUGUUCCACCGCGCCCGGCUGAGCCAUGGUCUUGAGUGAGUUACUCCUGGUCCCACCACUUGGCUUUGUUCAUGCCUGUUGUCUGCCCUCCUGACCAGAAGGCUCAUGGAACCAAGAAUUCUGGUAUUCCAGCCACUACACAGAUGGGGAAAUUGAGACUCAGCGGAGCAUGACUUGCCCAAGGUCCUCUACCAGGUCCAGGCAUGGAUGGCAGGAAGGGGUUGACUGUCUUUUCCUCUGGAGCCACGACGGACAUUGGGGGCAUUGCUUCCUGAGAGCUGUC